GACUCCAUAGCCUAAUGGAUAAGGUGUUGGUUUACGAAACUAGAGAUUCUAGGUUUCAUUCCCAGUGGAGUUA
Ipomoea nil (Japanese morning glory) is the source of this 73-nucleotide transfer RNA. It matches the Rfam family "tRNA". Rfam says of the family: Transfer RNA (tRNA) molecules are approximately 80 nucleotides in length. Their secondary structure includes four short double-helical elements and three loops (D, anti-codon, and T loops). The record is from Rfam. Lineage: Eukaryota; Viridiplantae; Streptophyta; Magnoliopsida; Solanales; Convolvulaceae.